UACUCCUACGGGAGGCAGCAGUGAGGAAUAUUGGUCAAUGGGCGAGAGCCUGAACCAGCCAAGUAGCGUGCAGGAUGACGGCCCUAUGGGUUGUAAACUGCUUUUAGUUGGGAAUAAAAGGCGGUACGUGUACCGCGUAUUGUAUGUACCAUCAGAAAAAGGACCGGCUAAUUCCGUGCCAGCAGCCGCGGUAAU
This 195-nucleotide ribosomal RNA is filed under the name uncultured bacterium. RNAcentral describes it as "partial 16S ribosomal RNA". It matches the Rfam family "Bacterial small subunit ribosomal RNA", at positions 334 to 524 of the family's 1533-position model. The record is from RNAcentral.